GCCGCCAUGGUGAAAUUGGUAGACACGCUGCUCUUAGGAAGCAGUGCUC
This 49-nucleotide transfer RNA is filed under the name Aegilops columnaris. RNAcentral describes it as "partial tRNA-Leu". Lineage: Eukaryota; Viridiplantae; Streptophyta; Magnoliopsida; Poales; Poaceae. The record is from RNAcentral.